This is an RNA transcript of Vespula vulgaris, 3403 nucleotides long. It is a transcript of the gene named probable serine/threonine-protein kinase clkA, with no coding region annotated. The transcript has 5 exons. NCBI's taxonomy places the organism in Eukaryota, Metazoa, Arthropoda, Insecta, Hymenoptera, Vespidae. The record is from RefSeq and is a predicted model, not a curated record.
GGCGGCGGCGGUGGCGGCGACGGCGGCGACGGUCUGCGCGGCGCGUGCUUCUCUCCCUUUGGCUUACAGCAUCCGCCGGCGGAGAGCUUCUCCUCUCUCCGCCUACGCCGCGGCCGGCUCGUGUGCGCGAGAGAGCGGUGCGAGAGAGUGGUGAGCGCCGUGUGUGCGCCAGUGCGCCCGCAAGCCCGCAAGUUCGCGCUCUGCCACGCAGCCCAAGCUCUCUCUAGCCGCGCGCUCAUCGGCCACGUUCAUCAGCCGGGCCCCACGCGAAAAGAGACGAGCACCCCGGGGGCCGCCCUCGUUGUUCCUUCUCAUCCUCGUCCACGUCGUUUAUCGUAAUCGUACACGUCGCGCGAAAAAUCCUAUUUGUAUAUAUUGUUUCGGGAAAAGAAUAAAAAGAAAAAAAAAGAAAAAAGAGAAAAACGCAGCAACAGGAAGCAACAACUUUAGGAAAAAAAAGAAAGGGAGCGCAAAAAUAUUUAAAAAAAAAAAGAAGAGGAAAAGGAGUAAAACGAUACACGCGUACGAUAAGUCAACGGGAAAAAAUUAAAAGGAAGAAGAAGAAGAAGAAGAAGAAGAAGAAAGAAGAAUCCAAAUCAAAAGAACGUAUUGGUACAUACAAGUUUAGGCCCAAAAUUGUAUUUAAAAAAUAUUUAUCGCAAGAAAAAAGAAUACCAUAUGAAAGAAGGAUAAGAGGAAAAAGCGACGAACGGACAACGAUUACAACUUUUUUCUGGACGAGAAAGAAAUAGGUUCUUUCGAAAAGGACGCCGUCUCCGGGGGAGAAAAACUCGACCGAGAAGCGCGCGCGCGCCACUUCUACGAAACACUUUUUUCUUUGGUCGUCUCACGGAAGCGAGCACGGAUUGCUUCCGGCGCAUCUCUUCUGAUACACCUUACACGUUCUCGUUAUCUUUGGCAUAUCGAACGACGACGACACUUACCGAUGAAGGAGGACAGAGAGAGAGGAGAUCCCGACACGUUGUGCACCGGUCUGUGAUUUUCGUAUUCUCGUGACAGCCUCGACAACAGCUCGCCUUCUUCGGAUCGACGCGAAAGAUAGAUUGACGAAUGACGCCGUAACCGUGGGCUGGUUGGUGCUCGGAUAUCAGAACACGGAAGGGGACAACAUCUUUCACACCGCCACGACAACGUUCACCGUUCAAACAAGCCGUUCGUUCCGUCGUGCUCGUCUCCGAUGCAAAAAGAAAUUUACUCGGUAGUAAGUACACUGUAUGGAAAACGAAAAGAAGGAGGAGGAGGAGGAGAAGGAGGAGGAGAAAUUCGUCCUCCAUCGGCGGAGUGCUACUUAGAGAAAUCAGAGCGACGUACCAUGAUAGUGGCGGCAUGUCGUCGUCGUCGUCGUCGUCGUCGUCGUCGUCGUCGUCGUCGUCGUGCUACUUACGUCCUCCUUUCCGGCCGGAGGGCCGAGUGACGACGGCCGUGCUUGAAAAGGAAGAAAGGAGGAGAGAGUGCGAAAGAAAACGACGUAAUAUGCUCGAGUGGUGCGAAGUGACGAUUGUCCCUUUCUUCGCGCACGAGGCGCGUCUUCCGACACCCCCAACCCUCACUACCCAUCUCUUUCUCGUUCUCUAUUUCGCUCUUUCUCACGGUCCGGCAACUUUAUUAGCCACCUUCGCCUCAUUCCUUCAUGCCUUCCUUCCUUCCUUUCUUUCUUUCUUUCUUUUCAAUUUCCCCGAGUGAAGCCUUUCUACUUAGGUAUAUCGUGCCGUACUCGCGGAAAGACAUGAGAAACGUUGAAUCAAGUGUCCCGAGAUCUGCUCCUUCUUGCGUUAAGUGUACUCGUGAGACCCUUUCUCCUUGCGAGACAACUUAGUAUAUUUCGACUGUGUCGAUUUUUUAUAAAUCGAUAUGUUUUAUCUAAUCUUCUUAUCUUUUACAUUUUUAUUAUUUACAUUGAAACUUCAUAGAUACAAUAUAUGUGCGUAUAUAAUAAUAUUAUAAUAGAUUGCGUUAAUAAGAUUUUGUUAUAUUUUAGAUCUUCUAGAUUUUAUAUAACAUUUAUAUAUAUAUAUACAUAGAGAAAGAGAGAGAAAGAGAGACAGAGAGAGAGAGAGAGAGAGAGAGAGAGAGAGAGAGAGAGAGAGAGAGAGCAACUCACUCCCCUAUUAUAAAAUCCAGUAUAUAAUAUAAUACAUUUCUGUAAUAAUUAUGCAUCGAGAGAGGUAAUCUGCUGAUGAAACGAAUACUCGCUCACGCUUCUACGAUCGCGAGGUAUGCAUGUUAGAAUAGGAAACUCAGCAGGACAUGCUUCCUCCGAACGAGUCUAUACAUCAUCUCUCUUUCCCUUCGGUCUCUUUAAAAACAAUAUAAUUUUUUUUUCUUUUUUGUUUUCGCGUCACGUAGGUGCUCCGAAGCGCGACAAAUAGAGACAGGAAACGCGUGUCCACUGGACCAGGUAUCCUUACUGGAAGCUUCCACUUUCACGCAGAGGAAAUGAGCUCUCGCUUCUUCCGUUCCUAUACCUAGGGAAAAAUGGUUACAAGGGUGCGUCGCACGACGACGCAAACGCACACGCGUGCGCGCACGUGCUACGUAUGCACACAUACAUGUAUGCACGCAUACAACUCUCUUCGUAGACGCGAAUAAAAAGCGAACGAAAAUAGCCGAUUCGCCCUGGUACGGCUCGAAUUUUUCACUCGACCGGCCAUAUAAAAUUACUUCGCUGCAUUAAGCGAACUGACUAACUUUAAAAUAACGCGAGCCUUGUGUAUCGUGUUUCGCGACAGAACGGAGGAAGAGAGAUAGAGAGAGAUAGAGAGAGAGAGAGAGAAAGAAGAAGUGGGGGGUAAAAUAGGUUGCAGCUAGAAAGCGUAGCAUGCAUGUCCAGAAAUAAAAAAAAAAAGGAAGGAACUAAAAAAUACAUUAAUAUGUUUCGCUUUACGUUCAAGCAAGGAUUGAAAACUGAUCAUGAGAAAAGGAAAAAAGGAAGAAAAAUAUUAUCAAACGAAGAGUCAAAUAUAAAAAUGAUUGGAUUAAAAUGAAAAUGAAAAUGAAAAUGAAGAGAAACGAGAAAGAAAAAAAAGAGAGAGAGAGAGAAAGGAAAAAGAAAAGGGAAGAGAGAAAGAAAAGCGAGGGAAAAGAUUUGAGUAACAUCUCUUUUCGAUUUUUGGUCGAGAUGAAGAUCGAUAAGGCUUAUCGAGACGAGCAUACGAAGCGUAGAAGAAAGAGAGAGAGAGAGAGAGAGAGAGAGAGAAUAAAAGAGAGGUAAAGGGAGUGGGGAAAUGGUCAAGGGACCGAUGAGUUCGACGGAGCGAGUAGACUUAACUGGAAGCUUCCACGUUCGUAGAGGAAACGCGUCCGUCCUUCCUUCCGUUCUUCCGUGUGUCGGAGAGAAAAGGGAGAAAGAGUGCGAUGGAUAUCGAAAAGCAUCGAUGUGCAU